This 192-nucleotide microRNA precursor is filed under the name Oryza brachyantha (malo sina). Its description in RNAcentral is "MIR812 microRNA precursor family". It matches the Rfam family "MIR812 microRNA precursor family". Lineage: Eukaryota; Viridiplantae; Streptophyta; Magnoliopsida; Poales; Poaceae. The record is from Rfam by way of RNAcentral.
GCAAAGCGUACUACUAUUUUACCUAUAAUCUUUGACUCUUCGUCUUAUUUAAAAAAUUUUUGCGAUUAAUAUUUUUAUUUUUAUUAGAUAAUAAAUUAUGAAUAGUAUUUUAUGUGUGACUAAUUUUUUUCUAAUUUUCUAAAGAUUUUUUAAAUAAGACGAAAGGUGAAAUGUUGAACACAAAAACCAAAG